Molecule: ribosomal RNA, 500 nt
Filed under: uncultured bacterium
Lineage: Bacteria
Description: partial 16S ribosomal RNA
Rfam family: Bacterial small subunit ribosomal RNA
Source: RNAcentral
AUUGAACGCUGGCGGAAUGCUUUACACAUGCAAGUCGAACGGCAGCACGGACUUCGGUCUGGUGGCGAGUGGCGAACGGGUGAGUAAUGUAUCGGAACGUGCCCAGUCGUGGGGGAUAACGUAGUGAAAAUUACGCUAAUACCGCAUACGAUCUAUGGAUGAAAGCGGGGGAUCGCAAGACCUCGCGCGAUUGGAGCGGCCGAUAUCAGAUUAGGUAGUUGGUGGGGUAAAGGCCCACCAAGCCAACGAUCUGUAGCUGGUCUGAGAGGACGACCAGCCACACUGGAACUGAGACGCGGUCCAGACUCCUACGGGAGGCAGCAGUGGGGAAUUUUGGACAAUGGGCGAAAGCCUGAUCCAGCCAUUCCGCGUGCAGGAUGAAGGCCCUCGGGUUGUAAACUGCUUUUGUACAGAACGAAAAGGUUUCUACUAAUACUAGGAGCUCAUGACGGUACUGUAAGAAUUAGCACCGGCUAACUACGUGCCAGCAGCCGCCGUAA